This 483-nucleotide ribosomal RNA is filed under the name uncultured bacterium. RNAcentral describes it as "partial 16S ribosomal RNA". It matches the Rfam family "Bacterial small subunit ribosomal RNA", at positions 29 to 506 of the family's 1533-position model. The record is from RNAcentral.
AUUGAACGCUGGCGGCAUGCUUUACACAUGCAAGUCGAACGGCAGCGCGGGCUUCGGCCUGGCGGCGAGUGGCGAACGGGUGAGUAAUACAUCGGAACGUGCCCAGUAGUGGGGGAUAGCUCGGCGAAAGCCGGAUUAAUACCGCAUACGACCUGAGGGUGAAAGCGGGGGAUCUUCGGACCUCGCGCUAUUGGAGCGGCCGAUGGCAGAUUAGCUAGUUGGUGGGGUAAGGGCCUACCAAGGCGACGAUCUGUAGCUGGUCUGAGAGGACGACCAGCCACACUGGGACUGAGACACGGCCCAGACUCCUACGGGAGGCAGCAGUGGGGAAUUUUGGACAAUGGGCGAAAGCCUGAUCCAGCAAUGCCGCGUGUGUGAUGAAGGCCUUCGGGUUGUAAAGCACUUUUGGCGGGAACGAAAAGGACUGUGCCAAUACCACGGUUCGAUGACGGUACCCGCAGAAUAAGCACCGGCUAACUACGU